AAAUAAAAAAUAGAUGAUUAAUCUAGAAGAGUCCUAAAAACUGGAUUUUUAAAAACAUAAUAAAAUUGUUACAUUCAGGUAAGUGUGGCUUUAGGAAAACAAAUUACGAUUAUUGUGGGACUGCUUAUCCCUAUGUCUCCAGGGUGAACCGGUCCCGAGAACGAGGUGCCUGUGGAUGAAUGAGAAAAGUAAAGAGAGACAAGAAAACCAAGAGAGGCAGAAGUCUGGGACCAGGGGCUGACAGCGUCUCGGACUGCAGCUUCUAGGACUGUCCCUCCUACCAAUUUCAGUCACCUUUUAUUGAGCGGGAACCUAGGGCGUAGUAGUACUGAUGGCUGGAUACAAAACGUUUUAGCAAAGGUAAUCAGAGGAUUAUCCUCUUCCACAUGUAAUCGGAGACAUGUCUGUAAUCCCAGCACUCAAGAGGCUGAGACAGGAGGAUGGUAAACGCAAAGUUAAACAAACCAUUGUGUCCUCAGUGCAUUCUAAUCAAAGAAUGUCCUUCUCCACAGAAUAUCAGAAAUGGACAGAGAAAAUCCAGUAGUUUCUGCUUGGCCUGUGUGUGGGAGCGGGGAGAAUUAAUCGUUUAGGGAGUGUUCGUCAAAAUUGGUAGUACAAGGUUUAUUAGUCCUGACUUUACCCAACCUCUCUCUACCGAGGGGAGUCAGCUCCCAGGUUUUAACCCCUCGGAUGAACACCUGCAAUCUGCAGUCACUGCCUACAUCUGUUGUCACCUUGGACUUCCAACAGCGCCCACUGGACUCAGACUGCCUCUCUUGGCAGGAGCGGUCACCUGUGGGAACCCAACUGCCCAUCACGCUGUGGGGAUUUAUUUCUCCAGAGCUGUGAAACCAGGACUGAGAGAACGUGCACCGCACCUUAGCCCACCUCAGCUGCCCUGAAACGCAAGUGCUACUUCCUUCCCGAAGGGGCCGGUCUGGUCUCUGUCAGAACUUCUCCCUGCAGCCCCUAAGCCGGGGUCCGUCCUCGUUUUCCUGCUUCCCUUGUGAAGGCCGCCUGAUCACCGUCAGAACAGCGCCCUUUAGUUUUUCUUUCCGGACCGUCCAAUUUUUCCUUACUUUCCAGUUAAAGCUUUUGCCUAUAAUCUGUGCUGCUGCCUCAGUUUUAAUUUCUAUUAUCAUGAAACAAGCCAGUGACAACCUCCAAGAAAAGGGAAGAUCCUGACACAGGCUACACAGGUGGACCGUGAGAUCACUACGCUAGGUGAGAGGAGUCAUUUGCGGAAAGAAACACUAUCGGCUUCUUCCCGUACGCGACACCGGAGGGGUCACACUUAGAGAGGCUGGAGCGGUGGUGGCCGUGGGCUUGCAGAGCAGGAGCGGGGAGUCAUCGUUUCACAAGGACAGCACUUCCGGUUGUGAGACGAAGAGCACGCGUGACGGGCGGGAGUGGGUCGGGUGCCCUGCAGGGUGCGGUGGGCCCCGGGAGGGCCCGCUCUUCCUGCACAAACUCAGGAUCCAGCUGACGCUGCUCUGCUGCAGUAGCUGGACAGGAGUGGUCGCGGACACCGAUGAGCUGCAGAGAUGGCUGACCAGUCGGGCGUUGCUGGAGGGGACAAACCUUUACCUGGAGACUUGCCCGCUUACGGCCUAAGAGCUCUGGGACGGGUGGGUUGGCCGGAGACGACACUUAAUCAGGUUUGACACCAACAGCAGCAGAAAGCUCCAAGCAGUGACAGUAGCAGAACAGCAUAGUGGCAGUGAUGGCCGUCUCCACCGCGUCAGAGAGCUGUGCGCUGGAAUUCCGGCACACAGGCUGCACACUUUCCUGUGACCGCGGCUCCCGUGUGUCCUGGCUGUUGGUGGAGAGGAAGCGCUCCCACUUCACGCGGCUCGCUCCGGCCCUUUGUCAGCUGUGUGAGCUCACACUGUGCUUUGCCCAGCAGCUGUGGUGGACGUUUAUUAGUUUACACACAAGUGAGUCUUUGGCUUUGAUCAUGAAUUCUUUGGAACUUUAACAAGACAAAACCAAGCCUAUUACACCAAUUAGAACUUCUGGAAGCUAUUAUCAAUCAUCUUAUUUGUCUGCUAAAGCUCUCUAAUAUCAAUUUGAAUGUGCAGAAUGUUUAAGGUACAACAUAUGCUUUUCUUUGUGAGAUGUGAAAAACUUUUAAUUAACCCACAGCUGUUUCUUUCUUCUCCUAGAGGACCGUGGCUGAGAGUGUGCAGUGUUCUUGUGUAAACGAUGUGGAUUCACUUGGAUGUAAAAAACAAACUGACACGGUCAUCCACGGCCGGUUUCAUAUUAGUGGAAAAUGUAACUCAGGCCUUAAGUGUCUGCCUGUUUGAUGUCCUCGUGAAUGCACAGGGAACAUGCAGUGACUCUUUUGGCCUCUUUAACUUGUGAUUAUCCAAGUCGGCCCUAACCGGAUGACUGUGUCCUCACGAGAGAGCGAGCAGACAGACGCAGACGCAGGCCCUGGGGCACAGACAGCACGGCCACUAACCACGGAAGAGGCUGGCCUUGAACUCACUGUGUAGCCCAGCUGGCCUCGAAUUCACGGCAGCCCUCCUGCCUCAGCCUCCUGAGUGCCUGGAUUAAAGGUGUGCCCCAUCACGCCUGGCUACCCUGUAUCUUUGAAGUUCUUGGUAAUGGCAGUAAUACCUGCAGUGCCCUGGAAAGGUGGGGUUGCUUUACAUGGUCUUUGCCAGUGUAACAGCCCCGCUCCACCAGUGAGGGGAAACGUGGGCAUUCUGCGCGUGCUGGAGCUGGAGAAGUAACUGGAGGAUGGGAGCAGGGAUGUGGCCCCCACUGUGGAGUAGACCUGAGCUAAUGCCCCGCGGACCACUGGCUUUCACGAGCUGCUCCUGAGGGCCCCGUGGUGCCGUGGUCUCUGAAUGCGUGCCAGCUGGAGUUCCCUUCUCCCCGAGUCUCUUCCACAAGUGUCUGGCUCCAUGCGAAGCACACAGAGGCCUCCGUGGCAGCACCGCGGGGUCUCACCACGCGGCGGGCCUGUGUCUCUGUCUGAUGGUGCUACAGCGUCCUUUUUGGCUGUAUUUUUUUUCUGACUAUUGAUGCAAUGCUUGCUUAUUGUGAAAAAAUCUGGGAAAGGACACUUGCGAUCUCUGGAAAACAUGUCACUUGUUGAAACAUUUCUGUAACAACUGUUUUAUCUUAACUUCUACCUCUUGGCCAGAUCUGUGUCAAAGUGCCUACUGGAUACUUCUACCAGCAGGUUUGACUUAAGUCAAACAUUCCUUGAGGCGCUACAGCCCCAGAUCCCAUACUCUUACCUAUGAUGUCGCAACUGUGUUCUUUAGGGCCAAGUUAAAAAUGUGUUCACACAAAACUUGUGCAUGCAAGUUUAUACCAGCUUUGUGCACGGCUGCCAAGUCUUGGGAGUAUCUCCAGAUACUGGAGUAUUAUCUGGCAUUAAAAAGAUAUGAGCUAAGCCGGGCGUGGUGGUGCACACCCGUAAUCCCAGCCCUCGGGAGACUGAGGCAGGA
Molecule: long non-coding RNA, 3467 nt
Organism: Chinchilla lanigera (long-tailed chinchilla)
Lineage: Eukaryota; Metazoa; Chordata; Mammalia; Rodentia; Chinchillidae
Exons: 3
Source: RefSeq, a predicted model, not a curated record